GCGGACUAAGGAAGUGGCGUCGCGAGGUCGUCUCGACGAACGUUAUCUUUCUGGCCAUAACCCUCCAGCUCAGGUGAGUCUUCCUUUCCUUCCUGAUCUCCAUACUGAGAUCGAGAAGGAAUGGAAGAAGCCGUUUUCCUCACGCAUCCAUCGGUUUCAGCAUACCAGUUAUGCGAAUAUCGAGGCGGUGCGCGAAAACGGCUAUGAGAGAAUGCCCCCUGUAGAAGAGACGCUAGCUAGCUAUCUCUCUAUGGGAGAGACAUCAUCUCUCAAAACUCCCUCCUUGCCAUCCAUGCCUCUUCAAGCUACAUCUAAAAUGAAUGGCAAGGCAUACGCAGCAGCAGGUCAGGCUGUUGCUUCACUGCACACGAUGGCGGUGCUUCAAGCAUACCAGGCUGAUCUGCUGAAAGACCUGGAUAAAGGCGAGGGCCUUUCUUCUGAUGAGAUGGCUGAGUUACGCCGCACCACGGAUCUUGCUCUUCGUGCUACUAAGCAGGCUGCCUCUGCCAUGGGCAGAUCUAUGGCAGCGAUGGUAGUAACGGAGAGGCAGCUGUGGGUAAACCUGGCAGACAUCGGGAAGAAAGAAAGGGGUUUUCUUCUCGAUGCCCCGGUUUCGCCCUCUGAACUUUUUGGUACAUCCGUUGAGACGGUCAUCGAAAAGUUCAGGGAGGCGAAGGCACGCUCAGCGGCCUUCAAAACCUUCAUUCCACGAAGGUCCAGGUCUGAGCCCGAACAAACCAGGGGUCCUGGCCCGUCUCGAUUUGAGGAUCAGAGACGAGCACAGAAGGCUAGUGUCGCGACUCGCGCUCCUCCUCCGCCUGCGGGUAGGGGUAGGAAGUAUCGUGGGUCGAAGGGAGGUAGGCAAGACCUGAGGGAUGUGAUCCAGACAAGGCGUCAGAGCUUUCGUCCGGAUCAGAGUAAUACUUAGGUAUCCACUCUUUCCCUCAGGGGGUGUAACAUCUACCCCUUUCUUCCCCUUCCUAAUUCCCCUGUAACCACCAUAUCGCCACCUGACCGAGGUCAGGUGGAAGCUUCCUGCAUAACAGUCUCCU
RNAcentral lists this long non-coding RNA (1052 nucleotides) under Sinocyclocheilus grahami. RNAcentral's name for it is "lncRNA (ENSSGRG00000001351.1)". The record is from RNAcentral. Lineage: Eukaryota; Metazoa; Chordata; Actinopteri; Cypriniformes; Cyprinidae.